This 785-nucleotide long non-coding RNA is filed under the name Homo sapiens (human). RNAcentral describes it as "HSALNT0278459". Lineage: Eukaryota; Metazoa; Chordata; Mammalia; Primates; Hominidae. The record is from RNAcentral.
UCUUUUAGACACGAUUAAAAAUUUAAAAAAGUGAAUAUACCCUGAAGCACUUUUACAAAAUCAGGGGUCCUUGAACACACUGAACAAUGACCUGUGCCAGGCCCCAUGCUGAAUAUUGCAGAGCGAACUCACAAAUCCUCACAGAUUCUCUAAGCUAACAAUCACUAGGUUUUGUGAUUAUCCCCGUUUUACAGUAGGGAAAACCAAGGGCUGGAGUAGUGAAGUCACUUGCCAGGGCCGCAGAGCUCCUUGCCGCUCGGCUGCCUUACUGCCUUGUUUCCCCUGGCUUCUCUUUGUGCCUGCAAUGCAGCCAAGUGGAACCCUCCUCUCUUCCUGGACAGGAGGAGUUCUUGCCUCCUGAUCUUUGCUCUCUGUAAUCUUCCACUCAUUUUGGCUCAGGUAAACAGCACUGUUUUCAAUACCACUGCACCCUCUUCUGUUCUAAACUCUAUGUCCUUGCCAGAUCUUUCCAGGAACAUCAGCAGGACCCAGGUCCACCCCGAGCCACCUUCCCUGCCUGGCACGUUCUAAAUAUUGGAAUUAUUGAGUGAGUGAAUGUCUGUAACUGAUUUUGAUUUUUUUUCUUGAAAGACAUGUAUCACUGUACAAUCCAUAAAUCACUGUACUUAUCACACUGAAAAUACACGUAUCACUGUAUUUUCAGCAAUACAACUAUAUCUGGAUGUUUUAAAUUUUUUGAGAAUAUGAUAUUCUCUGUGCAAGUAUGUUUUAGCCCAGACUGUCUGUUUAUCCAGGCUGCUUAGUGGGAAAUGGUUAAUAAAGGA